Aquila chrysaetos chrysaetos is the source of this 895-nucleotide long non-coding RNA. RefSeq lists it as uncharacterized. The transcript is spliced from 6 exons. The record is from RefSeq and is a predicted model, not a curated record. Lineage: Eukaryota; Metazoa; Chordata; Aves; Accipitriformes; Accipitridae.
UUCUUACUGAUGGCCUUGCAGACUGCUAUCCACUUGCUUUUAAUGAACCUUCUCUCUUUCUGAAGCUCCUUCAGAAAUGAUGCCUUAGUGUGCUGUGAGAUUAAAUGUAAGGAGUCUUUGCCUGUCCAGAGACUACUUCCUCCAUGGGGCAGAUUUGUGGCUGGGCUUUGCGGGAAUUGGAGAUGGAUAAGGAGAUGGUUGAGACUCUUGGAUUUCUGUGCUGCAGUUGCAGGCUUUGGUGGGGAAAACAUGGAAGCUCCCUGGACACGUCUACUGCCAUGAGAUGUCUCAGCCAAGGAUUUUGAGCCAAGAUAUGAGGGAAAUGGUUUAAACAGAUGUGUGCCCAUGCCUGUGACACUGAACUUCGAGAUGCUGAUAUUUAAAAAGCUUGCCAUCUCUCCUGCCUCCCAGCAGCAAGGGAAAACUGAAGCCACUGAGCAUGCAAUCCAGCCCAUCUUCUAGCUCCCCAAGUGCAGCAAAAACAUUUAUGGACUGAUCUUCUACAGCUCCUCUCAAGCACUGGAAUUUCCAGGUGUAUAUGUUUUCAGGGCAGAAGCAACCCCAGGAAAGCUGCUUUUCAAAAGGCAUUUGUGCUAUACAUAUUAUUGAAGUAUGUCACUUCCCCUCCAUGUGACCAGCUACAUGUAUUGAGAGAAAGUAAAACCAGACUUCAAAGCAUCUGACAGGAGGCAGGCAGGCGUUGUUUCUUCAUCCGUCCAAGGAAGAAGCUGAAGCACAAAGUGGCAAGGUCUCCCAGAGAAGAGUAAGAGGUCCAUUUGUUCCAGUGAGAUUGUAGUUAAGAGUUCUCAGGAUUUAGCUCACCUUUUUAAUUGCUGCUGUCUCAAUUAAAUUGCAUCUGUGAUAACAACAGGCCUCCUGGAGACCCAACAGGAAC